Molecule: signal recognition particle RNA, 316 nt
Filed under: Cercocebus atys (sooty mangabey)
Lineage: Eukaryota; Metazoa; Chordata; Mammalia; Primates; Cercopithecidae
Description: Metazoan signal recognition particle RNA (ENSCATG00000003430.1)
Rfam family: Metazoan signal recognition particle RNA
About the family: The signal recognition particle (SRP) is a universally conserved ribonucleoprotein. It is involved in the co-translational targeting of proteins to membranes.
Source: RNAcentral
GCUGGAUGUGGUGUGUGCCUGUAGUCCCAGCUACUCGGGAGGCUGAGGCAGGAGGAUCACUUAAUGAACUCCUGAACGGAGUUCUGGGCUGUAGUGUGCUGUGCUGAUUGGGUCUGCAAUCAGCAGAUUGCAGUGUCUGCACUAAGUUUGAUAUCAAUAAGGUGACCUCCCAGGAGCCGGGGACCACCAGGUUGCCCAAGGAGGGGUGAAUCAGCCCAGAUCCAAAAUGGAGCAGGUCAGAACUCCCGUGCUGAUCAGUGGGACUGCACCUGUGAAUAGCCACUGCACUCCAGCCUGGGCAGCAUAGUGAGUUUCU